GGCCGAGAGCCUUGGAAUCUGAGGAGUCUGCAGCCCAUUCUUGAUACUGCUUUACUUUCCAAAAAGUUAUGACAACAAAACCACCCUGGGGCCCAGACCUGGAAGCCGUCAGCUAUGGAGGACCCUGGAAGCAGGCAGAGAAAGGUUUGGAGUUUUCAGUGCGAUGACACCAGCGUGCCUGCGGAAGUGGCUGUGUCUCCUCUUGCCUCCUUCCCCACCCAAUUCCGCCCCAGGAGCCCAGGGAUGGAGGCCCAGGAGACGGAUCCCACAAGAGCCAGCACCCACUCCACCCCAGGUAGCUGGCAGUAUCUGUCUCUUCAAUCUGACUGAUCACCCAACUUGGGGUGGGGAGCUUUGAAAAAUGUAGACUCCCAGGCCCCACCCCAGAUCCUCUGGCUGGGAUUUGCUGGGUGGUAGAAACCCAAGGAAGUUUGUGUUUUCUAGAACCCCAUAAGAUUCGGAUGCAGCCAGUGGGGGACAGGAACUUCAGCAGGGGAAGCCGCAGCCCUGGGUGUAGACCCCAUCCACUCGUGCCUGAUGCAGCCCUCCUCUCAAGGAAGGGCGAGCUCACUGAAGGGGACAGGUCACAGGUCAGCCCAAUUCACCCUGAGCACAGAAAUGCACACUGCAUUUAGGACGGCCGGAUUGCUGGACCAAACCUGUCUCUCUGUCCCCUGCACACAUAUGCACAUGCGCAUGCACAGAGACGCAUGCUGAACUUCUACGGAAGAGGAGAGCGGUAGGACCAGGCUCUCCAGGGUCCUGCCUUGGGGUCUCUCCCCACAACUGUGGCAUAAACCUCUCUCCAGAAACAGAGGGCCUGAUAACCCGUCAGCUCCCCAGAAUCCGAAUCCUAAAAGGCUCUCCCCAGGGUUCGUCCGGCUUCAGCAGAGACCCUUCCCACCCAGGCCGGAGCCCUGCAUUCAGUUGCCAGGGACACCGUGCAGUACGGCCCCCAGCAACCUGAAGACAUCAAGGUCCCAUCCCCCUGCUUCCAAGCUGCCAACCUUCCUCAUUUCCUGGGUGGUGGGUAAGGGGCAGGGGGCAUGGGGCAGAAAGAGAUCCUCCCCCUCUCUUGGGGCUUCCUCCACCAGCCCCCUCCCCACUGAAGCUCCCUUCUGAAGGAGGCUGGAGAGCUGCUGCGGAGAGAGGAGCCCAUGUGGGAUGCCCUCCCAACACACACAGGCUGAUCACCUCACCAAAUCCUUAUUAAAACCAUCCCUGUUCAAAGGCAAAAUCAGCCAACCACCAGUGUCCCUCUGACCUAAUGUCCAGCAGGGCAAGAGCUCAAUGCCUGGAUGUCACCUCCAGGGCCUCAGCAACUGUGCAUCUCUGCUCAGGCUACCAAACAAAACACCCCAGACUUCGUGGCUUAAACACAGAAAUUUAUUUUCUCAUAGUUCUUAAGGCUGGAAGGCCAAGAUCAAGGUGCUGGCAGGGUUGAUUUCCGUGGAGGGCUCCCUGCUUGGAUUGCAGACGGCUGCCUUCUGGCCGAGAGCUCACGUGACGGAGACAGCGCACUCUCUGGGGUCUCCUCCUGUGAGGACACUAAUCCUAGCAGAGCAGGGGCCCACCCUGAGAACCUCACUUAACCAUAACUAUUUCCUUAGAGGCUCCAUUUCCAAAUACAGCCACCCUGAGGGUCGGGGCUUCCACAUCUGAAUUUGGGGGAGCACAAACAUUCAGCCUGUGACAAGGAUACCAACAGAUGUCAGCCACCACAGCCAGGCCUUGUGACCCAACAGGAGGCUGCGGUGUCCCUGGGCAUCGCUGGGGCAUGUCUCAAAUGGGUCUAAACCCAGUCUCUCUGGCUGAGAGCAGAGGUCUGAGAGGCUCAAUGGCAGGAAGGAGCCCAGUUCAGUGGGGAGGCAGAGAGCACGCAGCCUCCCUCCUUGGCGGGGUUCGGAUGCUGGCCAGCCUUCAGGGCUGGCCGGCUGCUGCCCAAGGCCUCCCGCUUCUCCAGGAAGGGCCCUCCCUUGCUCUCUCCCUCUCUGCACUCACCCCUUCUCCCUCUCCCUACACGCUUUUCCACUGUGAGACUGGAACAUCAUCGGGACAGCCCAGAAUGUCCUCUUCCCCUGCAGGAGCUCAGCAAACAUCCACAGAGUGAACAUUCCAAGCAACAUAGUCCAGGAGCCACGUUCCAGCCAUGGGGCCUCUGCACUGCUGUUCUCUUCACAUGGCCUGCCCUUCCCCCAGAAAGAGAGAAGAGGCCCUCUCUGGUUGUCCCAUCAAAACUCCACCCUUCUCUCACCCUCCUCCCAGCUGUAUCCCUUCUCUGCAGCCCUAACAUGCAUUCCACUUUAUUUCCCUUGUCUACUGUCUGCCUCUCUAACUACUAAGUCAGUUCCAGCCGCUCCAGGAUUUUUGUCUUUUCAGUUUAGCCCUGGUUCCUCAGGGCCUUAGUGACUAGUGUGUAGUGCCUAGCAGCCAGUAGAUGCUCAAUAACUGCUUGCUGAUUGACUGGGGUGAGCUCCCCAUCCAUGGAGCUAUUUCAAGCCAAGCCUAGACGAUCUUUCAGGGCUAGUUCUAACCUAAGACUUGGUAGUUCCAUGACUCUCUUCCUGGCCCAGACCGAAAAGGAACUUUCAGCAGGAACCCGGGACUGGGAUCUGAGAUGGGGCUCCUUGGAGGACUCUGACUAGGAAGAGAGACGGGAGGCCGCACCAAAAACACAAGCCCUUCAUGGGUCUCCCAGGCGUAGGUCUGGGGAAUCCCCCAGGCCCCUCAGGAUCGACCCUGCUGGCCCUGGAUCUCCAGGACGCGUCCCUCUGACCUGCCUGCCCGGCCUGUGAGUCCCCGGCAGCAACCGCUGCAGACACAGGCUGCCCAGCGCCAGGGCCAGGCCGGAUUAUCAUACAUUAAGACAUAAUUACUCUGCGGAAAUUUACAAUACAAAGCGCCCUCCCCAAGUUGGCUUCAGAAGGAUUCCAAGGAUACAAAGACCUGCUGUGUCUGCCACCGACCCAAGCUGGCCCCAGCCAGAAUUUCAAAAGAAGUGGGUGGGUUAGUUUUUGGAAAAACCCCAUUCUACCCUCCAGGCAGAAGCCCCGCCCCAAGGGUAGAGCCCUCUGAUACCCCAAGCCCCACCCAGAGGGGAGGGUCCCCUCCACCCCGACCAGCGUUGCUCCUAAACCACUCGGGUUCCCCCAAGCCCAGAAGCUCCAAGCUGACACCACCAAGGUCACCCCACUUCUCCCAAGUUCUCUCUUUUUAGACUAUUUAGGCCUAAGGGCAGAAAGAACCUUAAAUCCCAAGAUGCUAGCUUUUGACCUGCAGAGAGGUGUGGCAGCCCACUGACAUUGAUUAAGCGCCUGCUGUGUGCCUGGUACUGUGCCAGCAUCAGGAUGCCACAGAGAACAAGACAAACCAGAUCGCUGUGCUGGGGGGAGCUUACAGUCCAGUUGAGGAGACGCAGUAAGAUGCUAAAAAAAAAAAAAAUGCACAUCAGGUGUGCAGGAUGGGUGAGUGACCGGGGUGCACGGUGGCCAGAGAGCCUCAAAGGUGGCAUCUGAGCAGAGGCCUGAAUGAGCAAGAGAGACUAGCCUGUGCAAAGGCCCUGAGGUGGGGCCAUGUGUGGUGAGGGGUAGUGGAGGCAGAGAAUGCUGGCUUUUACUCUCAAGAGGGUUUCCAGCAGGGAAGCUGCCUGAUUCGGGGGACACUUGGCCUGCUGUUCUGUUAGAUUCCUGCAUCUACCACCUCCUGGCCCUGGGAUGCUGGGCAAGUCAGUUAGCCCUUUAAGCUUUUGUUCCUCCCUGCAAAAUAAAAACAGUAACCACAGCUAACACACGCUUGUUGCACAGAACAAGACAGAGAAAGUCGGGAAAGGGAGGGCCAUGCAUGUGAGGGGCGGGGGAGAAGCUCUCUGAGCCUUAGCUGCCCCACAUGUGAAAUGGGAACCAGCCCCUGCCAACAGAAGGACUAAAGGCCCAGUGACUUGUGCCUCUGUCGUCUGGGGAGCCCAGGCACUUGGAGCCUGGCGUUCGGGACAGGCUGCCACCGUUAUCCAUGGCAUUCAGGUGAAAACGCUGAUGAAGGGGUAAUUUAUCCCUCCAGCCAUAAAACCUGGGGGAAGCCGCACAGCAAGCAGCUGUCCCGGUGCCGCCCUCCCAGGUGUCAGCGCACAAUAUCUGGGGCGGCUCAGGGGGUCCUGGGGAGAGGCCCUGCCAAUCUCCUCCAGCCUGCUGGGUGCCAGCCAGAGUGGAGAGCUGGGAGGGGCCGGAAUUCAACGGAAGAACUGCAGGCCUUUCAGCAGCCUCCUCGCAGGAGAACAAAGGCUGCAGCCUCCCAACACCAGGUGGCUGACAGCAAAGAAAGAGGCUCAGAGAGGGGAAGCAACUUGCCUGGAGCCACACAGCGCACAGCAGCAAGCCGGGCUCUGCAAAGGCACGGCCAUCGGGCAUCAGCACCUGUACUGCUGACUGGCUUGGAAGGCUCAGCUCAACUGAGAAAUGCAAAAUGCUGGAGCCCCUGGAGGACUGGAGUGGAAAAGGGGAAACCUGGAACCCAAGCCUUUAUCUGCCCUGCUGGGGUGGGGGACCCGGGCUUCUUCCUAAAACUCCUGGGCAAGGGUAGAAAGAAACAUCAGUUCCUGAGUCAAGGGUAGAGCCAGGCCACCCCUUCCUAGGAUGGGUGAUCAGGACCUGCCGGGUGACCCUCGACCUCUGUGCCACACUCACCCUGGGCAGGUGACUGUGCCUCUCUGGGGUCAGCCCCUCCUCUGUGAAAGGGGGAUAAUCGCAGCGCUGCCUCCUGGGCUAGUGCGAAGGAGAAAUGAGCCCAUGCAGGUACUGCAUAGAGUAGGCGCUCAAUAAGCUUCAGCUCUGGCUAGCCCAGGAUGGAGGACUCUUUGGAUGUCCUCCAGCUGCUGGGUGGGGUGGUGGGGUCCUUGUCACAGCAGACCUGCCCUGGCUGGCCCUGAAGCACUUCCUCCACCACCCUUGCAGGGACAGCAGAGAAAAACCCAAGUGCCCCGAAUGCACACCCCACUUCCCUGAGAGGACCGCGUCCUCCCUCCUCGAGGUGAUCACCACUGGGCAGGCUGGGCACCUCCACUUUCUGGGACCCCAACUUCAAGGGCAUCAGCCACCACCUACCAUGAAGAGAACCGCAGAGGAGAAGACCUGCCUCUGCCCCUGGCCGGGUGCCCAGGGACGGUCAGCUCACCUCCAGGACCCCAGCGUCCUGACUGUGAUGCCCCUGGCCGGGUGCCCGGGGAAGGUCAGCUCACCUCCAGGACCCAAGUCCUGACUGUGAUGCCCCUGGCCGGGUGCUUGGGGAUGGUCAGCUCACCUCCAGGACCUCAGCGUCCUGACUGUGAUAAUCAAGACAGGGUCACCUAAAGCCCCCAUGCAGGGCCUGCAUUCAGGGAAGGGCCUGCCUGCUCUUGUAAACCAGGCAGUGUUGCAAAACUGGGGUGGGAGAAGCUGUGAGAGCCCAGUGAUGACCCAGGGUCCCCGUGUCUAAUCCACAGGCUUUGCAGUGGCAAAGCAAGACAGAAGCACCAUGAUCCCCAAGGACACACCAGGGCAUCAGUCCCCAAGCAAGCCUGGAACCCAGAUUUGCAACCCCAGGACACAACUGCUUUUAGUCCCUCCUGGACACUUGGGAAAGAAAAGCGUUUCUAAAACUCUACAUCAAGAAUAGGUGACCCUUCAAAAAAUGCCCCGUAAUACCCAUAACAUACCCCUGCUCUUGGCAGGGCUUAGUUAGGAAGAAAGGGUCUGGGGACAGCUUCUCCCGGGAGAGCAGACAGUCAAUUCGGGACUUGCUAGAGGAAGACAUGCGGCCCAGAUGUCAGGUGAUCCGAGCUCCAGCAUCUACCCCAGGCCUCUAGCAGAGACCAAUAAGGACGUCUAGGCUCCAAAAGUGUGGAAGGGGCAGCGUUUGGCUUCCCUUCGCUUUUCAAAAGCAAGCCCACCUCUAUGCUCAUUUCAAAGUCCUUCGUUAAGAGAUAAACUAUUUCCUCGUAGAGUCUGGAAAACCCAUUUAUUUUCAAAUUCCAGUUACAUCGGAGACCAUGUCCCUUUAAAUGUGCCUUUCCCUCUGGAAUCCAAGAGACUCCGAAGCAUUUGGUAAUAUUGUGUAUUAAGGACGCACCAUAAAAAUAAAUUGCAUUGUAAAAGCUGGCCUCUUAACAGACAACCUUAGCUCCAGGGUUAAAUGUCUAAUUCCAUACUAUUACCCAGAGAGAGAUCAGAUAAAUCAAAGGGCACCGGUAUUCCUGGCCUUGCUCCUGUGGGCCUCUGGCCUGGCACAGAAUGUGUUAAGCAGGGCCCAGGAUAAGAAACCUCUUCCAGGUAAUACUCCCCCGUCACUGCUCUAACACCAGGAGCACCUUCAAAACCAAAUGCUCCCAAAGACAGCUGUCAGACACAUUAAAAAACAGGAAGGGGAAAAAAAAAAAAAAAACA
This 6413-nucleotide long non-coding RNA is filed under the name Homo sapiens (human). RNAcentral describes it as "HSALNT0387497". The record is from RNAcentral. Lineage: Eukaryota; Metazoa; Chordata; Mammalia; Primates; Hominidae.